AACCCUUAUCCAUUAGUUGCUACGCAAGGGCACUCUAAUGAGACUGCCGGUGACAACCGGAGGAAGGUGGGGAUGACGUCAAGUCCUCAUGGCCCUUAUGGGUAGGGCUUCACACGGUCAUACAAUGGUCGGUACAGAGGGUUGCUAAGCCGCGAGGUGGAGCCAAUCCCACAAAGCCGAUCGUAGUCCGGAUUGUUCUCUGCAACUCGAGAGCAUGAAGUCGGAAUCGCUAGUAAUCGCAGGUCAGCAUACUGCGGUGAAUACGUUCCCGGGUCCUU
RNAcentral lists this ribosomal RNA (278 nucleotides) under uncultured Thiobacillus sp. RNAcentral's name for it is "partial 16S ribosomal RNA". It matches the Rfam family "Bacterial small subunit ribosomal RNA", at positions 1100 to 1382 of the family's 1533-position model. Lineage: Bacteria; Pseudomonadati; Pseudomonadota; Betaproteobacteria; Nitrosomonadales; Thiobacillaceae. The record is from RNAcentral.